Schistocerca piceifrons (Central American locust) is the source of this 553-nucleotide long non-coding RNA. RefSeq lists it as uncharacterized. NCBI's taxonomy places the organism in Eukaryota, Metazoa, Arthropoda, Insecta, Orthoptera, Acrididae. The transcript is spliced from 2 exons. The record is from RefSeq and is a predicted model, not a curated record.
GCGGCGCUGGGGCGGCCCGUCUACGAGACGCUGAGCGUGCGCGCCGCGCACCUGCUGCGCCAGCUGCCCGCGCGCGUGCUGAUGACGCUGCGCCGCCUGCUGCGUCUGCCGCUGCGCGACGUGCUGCGCGCCGACCCCAGCCUCGAGCCGCUGCUGCGCAGCUUCAUCAACGCACCCGACAGGCCCGUCACCUGCGCGCCCGGCCAGGGCGUCGCCAGCGACGGCACCUGCCGCGACAAGUGGAAGCGGCACACCAGAUGAGGGAGAUUCUGCGAGCGGCAAAGAAUAUCUGUUGCCAUAGAAUGUCUGUUACCUCCGAAACUGAAAGAAGAAAAGAGAUAAUUGAGUAAUGAAAGGAAAAUGAAUUCUUUAAGGAAUCUGAAGAAAUGUUUGUGUCGCAAAGUAAGAAGUAAGAAAAAUGAAAAGACUGUUCUGUGAGAAAUGAAAUCGUUUGUCCAAAGAAGACAUUACUAUUUCUACUUUCUCAAAUGUGUUUUUGUAGCUGCAACAUCGAAGUUUCGCUUUCACAAUAAAAUAUUUAGUUGUUUGAAAA